This 302-nucleotide ribosomal RNA is filed under the name uncultured bacterium. RNAcentral describes it as "partial 16S ribosomal RNA". It matches the Rfam family "Bacterial small subunit ribosomal RNA", at positions 508 to 807 of the family's 1533-position model. The record is from RNAcentral.
GCAGCCGCCGCGGGAAUACGAAGGGUGCAAGCGUUAAUCGGAAUUACUGGGCGUAAAGCGUGCGUAGGCGGUUUGUUAAGUCUGUUGUGAAAUCCCCGGGCUCAACCUGGGAAUGGCAAUGGAUACUGGCAAGCUAGAGUGUGUCAGAGGAUGGUGGAAUUCCCGGUGUAGCGGUGAAAUGCGUAGAGAUCGGGAGGAACAUCAGUGGCGAAGGCGGCCAUCUGGGACAACACUGACGCUGAGGCACGAAAGCGUGGGGAGCAAACAGGAUUAGAUACCCCCGUAGUCCCUGUCUCUUAUAC